GACGAACGCUGGCGGCGUGCUUAACACAUGCAAGUCGAACGGAAAGGCCCUGCUUUUGUGGGGUGCUCGAGUGGCGAACGGGUGAGUAACACGUGAGUAACCUGCCCUUGACUUUGGGAUAACUUCAGGAAACUGGGGCUAAUACCGGAUAGGAGCUCCUGCUGCAUGGUGGGGGUUGGAAAGUUUCGGCGGUUGGGGAUGGACUCGCGGCUUAUCAGCUUGUUGGUGGGGUAGUGGCUUACCAAGGCUUUGACGGGUAGCCGGCCUGAGAGGGUGACCGGCCAAAAUGGGAAUGAGAUACGGCCCAGACUCCUACGGGAAGCAGCAGUGGGGAAUAUUGCACAAUGGGCGGAAGCCUGAUGCAGCAACGCCGCGUGCGGGAUGACGGCCUUCGGGUUGUAAACCGCUUUCGCCUGUGACGAAGCGUGAGGGACGGUAAUGGGUAAAGAAGCACCGGCUAACUACGUG
This 468-nucleotide ribosomal RNA is filed under the name uncultured bacterium. RNAcentral describes it as "partial 16S ribosomal RNA". It matches the Rfam family "Bacterial small subunit ribosomal RNA", at positions 28 to 507 of the family's 1533-position model. The record is from RNAcentral.